RNAcentral lists this ribosomal RNA (606 nucleotides) under Triticum aestivum (bread wheat). RNAcentral describes it as "partial small subunit ribosomal RNA". The record is from RNAcentral. Lineage: Eukaryota; Viridiplantae; Streptophyta; Magnoliopsida; Poales; Poaceae.
AUGCAUCUGCUUCGGCACGGUUUCAUGCCAAGCUAUAAUUGUUGGACCAAUCAUGGAGAAAGAGGGGUUAUAAUGGAAGAAGAUGAAGAAGGGGAUGAUUUCAUCGAUGAAAGCUAUCUUGCUCAUUUCGGUGAUACUUUCAUGGAGGAUGCUGAAGGUGAAGGGGAAGGUGAAGAAGAGGCACGUGAUGAUCCCGUUGAUGAUCUUGGUCGGACCAUUGCUGAUGCACGGAGACGCUGCGAAACUGAAAAGGAGAGGGAGAAUUUGGAUCGCAUGUUAGAGGAUCACAGAAAGGCGUUGUACCCCGGAUGCGAUGAUGGUCUGAAAAAGCUGGGCUGCACACUGGAUUUGCUGAAAUGGAAGGCAGAGGCAGGUGUAGGUGACUCAUCAUUUGAAAAUUUGCUGAAAAUGUUGAAGAAUAUGUUGCCGAAGAAUAACGAGUUGCCCGCCAGUACGUACGAAGCAAAGAAGGUUGUCUGCCCUCUAGGUUUAGAGGUUCAGAAGAUACAUGCAUGCAUUAAUGACUGCAUCCUCUACCGCGGUGAAUACGAGAAUUUGAAUGAAUGCCCUGUAUGCACUGCAUUGCGUUAUAAGAUUGAUGAUUGA